GACGAUCCCUAGCUGGUCUGAGAGGAUGACCAGCCACACUGGAACUGAGACACGGUCCAGACUCCUACGGGAGGCAGCAGUGGGGAAUAUUGCACAAUGGGGGCAAGCCUGAUGCAGCCAUGCGGCGUGUAUGAAGAAGGCCUUCGGGUUGUAAAGUACUUUCAGCGGGGAGGAAGGGAGUAAAGUUAAUACCAUAAUCAUGACGUACCCGCA
Molecule: ribosomal RNA, 213 nt
Filed under: uncultured Proteus sp.
Lineage: Bacteria; Pseudomonadati; Pseudomonadota; Gammaproteobacteria; Enterobacterales; Morganellaceae
Description: partial 16S ribosomal RNA
Rfam family: Bacterial small subunit ribosomal RNA
Source: RNAcentral